AGAGUUUGAUCCUGGCUCAGGAUGAACGCUAGCGGCAGGCUUAACACAUGCAAGUCGAGGGGCAGCAUGUCCAGCAAUGGAUGAUGGCGACCGGCGGAAGGGUGCGCAACGCGUGAGCAACAUGCCCUAUACAGGGAGAUACACCAGGGAAACUUGGUCUAAUAUCCCAUAGCAUUCAUUGAAGGCAUCUUUAAUGAAUUAAAGCUUCGGUGGUAUAGGAUUGGCUCGCGUGACAUUAGCCAGAUGGUGAGGUAACGGCUCACCAUAGCAAUGAUGUCUAGGGGUUUUGAGAGGAAGGCCCCCCACACUGGGACUGAGACACGGCCCAGACUCCUACGGGAGGCAGCAGUGAGGAAUAUUGGACAAUGGAUGGAAAUCUGAUCCAGCCAUGCCGCGUGCAGGAAGACGGCCUUAUGGGUUGUAAACUGCCUUUAUACGGGAGCAAUAAGGGUUACGAGUAAUCCGAUGAGAGUACUGUAUGAAUAAGGAUCGGCUAACUCCGUGCCAGCAGCCGCGGUAAUACGGAGGAUCCGAGCGUUAUCCGGAAUUAUUGGGUUUAAAGGGUGCGUAGGCGGCCAUUUAAGUCAGCGGUGAAAUUUUGCAGCUUAACUGUAACAGUGCCGUUGAUACUGUUUGGCUAGGAUUUGGUUGUAGUGUGCGGAAUGUGUGGUGUAGCGGUGAAAUGCUUAGAUAUCACACAGAACACCGAUUGCGAAGGCAGCACACUAAGUCAUUAUUGACGCUGAGGCACGAAAGUGUGGGGAUCAAACAGGAUUAGAUACCCUGGUAGUCCACACUGUAAACGAUGAUAACUCGCUGUCGGCGAUACACUGUCGGUGGCUAAGCGAAAGCAUUAAGUGUCCCACCUGGGGAGUACGUCGGCAACGAUGAAACUCAAAGGAAUUGACGGGGGCCCGCACAAGCGGAGGAACAUGUGGUUUAAUUCGAUGAUACGCGAGGAACCUUACCCGGGUUUGAAUUGCUGAAUUUGCAUUUGGAGACAUUUGCUUCCCUUUUGGGUUUCAGUGAAGGUGCUGCAUGGUUGUCGUCAGCUCGUGCCGUGAGGUGUCGGCUUAAGUGCCAUAACGAGCGCAACCCUUGCCGUUAGUUGCCAUCGGGUCAUGCCGGGCACUCUAUUGGGACUGCCAUCGUAAGAUGUGAGGAAGGUGGGGAUGACGUCAAAUCAGCACGGCCCUUAUGUCCGGGGCGACACACGUGUUACAAUGGGGGGUACAGCGGGUUGCUACCUGGUGACAGGGUGCUAAUCUUUAAAACCUCUCUCAGUUCGGAUCGGAGUCUGAAACUCGACUCCGUGAAGCUGGAUUCGCUAGUAAUCGCGCAUCAGCCACGGCGCGGUGAAUACGUUCCCGGGCCUUGCACUCACCGCCCGUCA
RNAcentral lists this ribosomal RNA (1393 nucleotides) under uncultured bacterium. RNAcentral describes it as "16S ribosomal RNA". It matches the Rfam family "Bacterial small subunit ribosomal RNA". The record is from RNAcentral.